AUUGAACGCUGGCGGCAUGCCUUACACAUGCAAGUCGAGCGGCAGCGCGGGGGCAACCCUGGCGGCGAGCGGCGGACGGGUGAGUAAUGCAUCGGAACGUGUCCUCUUGUGGGGGAUAACCAGUCGAAAGAUUGGCUAAUACCGCAUGAGCUCGUAAGAGGAAAGCGGGGGAUCCGUAAGGACCUCGCGCGAGAGGAGCGGCCGAUGCCCGAUUAGCUAGUUGGGGGGUAACGGCCUACCAAGGCGACGAUCGGUAGCUGGUCUGAGAGGACGACCAGCCACACUGGGACUGAGACACGGCCCAGACUCCUACGGGAGGCAGCAGUGGGGAAUUUUGGACAAUGGGCGAAAGCCUGAUCCAGCCAUGCCGCGUGUGUGAAGAAGGCC
This 387-nucleotide ribosomal RNA is filed under the name uncultured bacterium. RNAcentral describes it as "bacterial SSU rRNA". It matches the Rfam family "Bacterial small subunit ribosomal RNA", at positions 29 to 416 of the family's 1533-position model. The record is from RNAcentral.